RNAcentral lists this transfer RNA (84 nucleotides) under Mustela putorius furo (domestic ferret). It matches the Rfam family "tRNA". From Rfam's summary of the family: Transfer RNA (tRNA) molecules are approximately 80 nucleotides in length. Their secondary structure includes four short double-helical elements and three loops (D, anti-codon, and T loops). The record is from Rfam by way of RNAcentral. Lineage: Eukaryota; Metazoa; Chordata; Mammalia; Carnivora; Mustelidae.
GCCUGGGUGGCUCAGUUGGUUAAGUGUCUGCCUUUGGCCCGGGUCAUGAUCCCAGGGUUGUGGGAUCAAGUCCCGCCUCAGGCU